RNAcentral lists this transfer RNA (82 nucleotides) under Limulus polyphemus (Atlantic horseshoe crab). RNAcentral describes it as "tRNA-Leu". It matches the Rfam family "tRNA". From Rfam's summary of the family: Transfer RNA (tRNA) molecules are approximately 80 nucleotides in length. Their secondary structure includes four short double-helical elements and three loops (D, anti-codon, and T loops). The record is from RNAcentral. Lineage: Eukaryota; Metazoa; Arthropoda; Merostomata; Xiphosura; Limulidae.
GGUAGGGUGGCCGAGUGGUCUAAGGCGCUGGUUUAAGGCACCUGUCUCUACGGAGGCGCGGGUUCGAAUCCCGCCCCUGCCA